AUGCUUCCGUAGGGUACCUGCGGAGGGAUCAUUACUGAGUUUACGCUCUACAACCCUUUGUGAACAUACCUAUAACUGUUGCUUCGGCGGGUAGGGUCUCCGCGACCCUCCCGGCCUCCCGCCCCCGGGCGGGUCGGCGCCCGCCGGAGGAUAACCAAACUCUGAUUUAACGACGUUUCUUCUGAGUGGUACAAGCAAAUAAUCAAAACUUUUAACAACGGAUCUCUUGGUUCUGGCAUCGAUGAAGAACGCAGCGAAAUGCGAUAAGUAAUGUGAAUUGCAGAAUUCAGUGAAUCAUCGAAUCUUUGAACGCACAUUGCGCCCGCCAGCAUUCUGGCGGGCAUGCCUGUUCGAGCGUCAUUUCAACCCUCAAGCUCUGCUUGGUGUUGGGGCCCUACAGCCGAUGUAGGCCCUCAAAGGUAGUGGCGGACCCUCCCGGAGCCUCCUUUGCGUAGUAACUUUACGUCUCGCACUGGGAUCCGGAGGGACUCUUGCCGUAAAACCCCCCAAUUUCCAAAGGUGACCUCGAUCAGGUAGAUCUAUCU
This 545-nucleotide ribosomal RNA is filed under the name Colletotrichum gloeosporioides. RNAcentral's name for it is "eukaryotic LSU rRNA". The stretch from base 207 to 360 matches the Rfam family "5.8S ribosomal RNA". The record is from RNAcentral. Lineage: Eukaryota; Fungi; Ascomycota; Sordariomycetes; Glomerellales; Glomerellaceae.